GCCAGGCGUGGUGGCGCAUGCCUGUAAUCCCAGCUACUUGGGAGGCUGAGGCAGGAGAAUCGCUUGAACCCAGGAGGCUGAAGUUGCGGUGAGCCAAGACUGCACCAUUGCACUCCAGCCUGGGUAACAGAGCAAGACCCUGUCUCAA
RNAcentral lists this signal recognition particle RNA (148 nucleotides) under Pongo abelii (Sumatran orangutan). RNAcentral describes it as "Metazoan signal recognition particle RNA (ENSPPYG00000039440.1)". It matches the Rfam family "Metazoan signal recognition particle RNA". Rfam says of the family: The signal recognition particle (SRP) is a universally conserved ribonucleoprotein. The record is from Rfam by way of RNAcentral. Lineage: Eukaryota; Metazoa; Chordata; Mammalia; Primates; Hominidae.